RNAcentral lists this ribosomal RNA (305 nucleotides) under uncultured Pseudomonadota bacterium. Its description in RNAcentral is "bacterial SSU rRNA". It matches the Rfam family "Bacterial small subunit ribosomal RNA", at positions 20 to 355 of the family's 1533-position model. The record is from RNAcentral. Lineage: Bacteria; Pseudomonadati; Pseudomonadota.
UGGCUCAGAACGAACGCUGGCGGCAGGCUUAACACAUGCAAGUCGAGCGCCCAGCAAUGGGAGCGGCGCACGGGUGAGUAACACGUGGGAACGUGCCCUAUGGUUCGGAAUAACGCAGGGAAACUUGCGCUAAUACCGGAUAAGCCCUAACGGGGAAAGAUUUAUCGCCAUUGGAGCGGCCCGCGUCCGAUUAGCUAGUUGGUGGGGUAAAAGCCUACCAAGGCGAGGAUAAGUAGCUGGUUUGAGAGGAUGAUCAGCCACACUGGGACUUUUUCUCGGCCCAGACGAAUACGGGAGGCAUCAGU